RNAcentral lists this ribosomal RNA (505 nucleotides) under uncultured bacterium. RNAcentral describes it as "partial 16S ribosomal RNA". It matches the Rfam family "Bacterial small subunit ribosomal RNA", at positions 28 to 507 of the family's 1533-position model. The record is from RNAcentral.
GACGAACGCUGGCGGCGUGCCUAAUACAUGCAAGUAGAACGCACAGUUUAUACCGUAGCUUGCUACACCAUAAACUGUGAGUUGCGAACGGGUGAGUAACGCGUAGGUAACCUGCCUGGUAGCGGGGGAUAACUAUUGGAAACGAUAGCUAAUACCGCAUAAUAUUGAUUAUUGCAUGAUAAUUGAUUGAAAGAUGCUAUUGCAUCACUACCAGAUGGACCUGCGUUGUAUUAGCUAGUAGGUGAGGUAACGGCUCACCUAGGCGACGAUACAUAGCCGACCUGAGAGGGUGAUCGGCCACACUGGGACUGAGACACGGCCCAGACUCCUACGGGAGGCAGCAGUAGGGAAUCUUCGGCAAUAGACGAAAGUCUGACCGAGCAACGCCGCGUGAGUGAAGAAGGUUUUCGGAUCGUAAAGCUCUGUUGUAAGAGAAGAACGGGUGUGAGAGUGGAAAGUUCACACUGUGACGGUAUCUUACCAGAAAGGGACGGCUAACUACGUG